GCGGGCGGGCGGUGGUGGCCCUGCCACCCGCGGCCCCGGCCUCGGCGGCGUACCCGGGCCUCCCUGCCGCCUUGGUAGCGCCGGUCCGCACUCGGCCUGACCCGGGACGUCACGCCGCCUGUCUGUUUUCUCAAUGAUAACUUGGCAGGAGAAGGGGGAAGCGGCCGGGUUUUUCCUGGGCUCGUUACCGGGGUGACAUUCAGUGCCAGGCGAGCCUCGCCGGUCACCGCCAAGUCCCACCUGGAAAAAAAAAAAAGAACCAACCAAAAAACCCCCACCAAACCUAACGGAAUAAAGCCCCCACCCCAGCUACCGAAAACGGGAGUGCCACCCCCCUCGGCAGCCCCGAUGCGGGUGGCCCAGGCUUGCCGGCGGCGGACGGGACAGCUCGCCCAGGGGACGCGGGGACACACACAGAGGCACGCAACACGCCGCCAACCGCCAGCAGGCCAUUUGCCGGGCCUCCGCGGGCCAGUUCUGGGGGAGGGGGGCACCACAGAGAUUUAAAAUCAAUUAAAAAAAAAAAGAGGGGGGGAGGGGAAGUCAGCAGCCGAAAUGCAGGCGGAAAGCAGGCGAGGAGCAACGCUGCUGGCGGUUGCAGCCGCCGCACCGCCGCUGCCGUGCAGGCCCGGCGCCGCGCCCACCCCCCAUCUGCUGCCAGCCUCUGCAGGGGAAGGCGGCGACGGGGGGCACCCCACAUGCACAGGCUGUUGUGGCACCAAGAUGAACUUGGGGUGCUCCCGGGGGCUGUGGGGCAGGAGUGAGACACGGCGGCAGUGUGACAGAUCGCUAAACACAAUGGCGUCCCUGCCGAGGAGAGCGCAAGAGUCCCGCAGACCCUGGCAGGAUGUAAUCACCGGUGUUUGAACCAUCUUGCCCUGCCUCUGCUGCUAGGGCUGUGGAGCAGCUAUUUCUGAAAGCUGGACGUUUUGAGGUAAAACAGACCGAGCUUAGUUCUACAGCAUGCCCGAAGUCAGUGUGACCAAUAUGCGCACUAUGAGCAACAUUAGUAGUGGUAAGGGCUGGCAAACCACCUGCCUUUCUCUUUCCUUCAUUUUUGUAAUUCAAGGUAAAAUCCCGAAUGUCUGUAUGAAUAGUCCCCUGCCAUUCAGGGGACUUUUUACAUGUUGCACUUAACGCACGUGCCCAAGAGUUUCCAGGAAUAGGCCUCGCUUUAAAAGAAACUACCCGUGGUAGCUCAUACUGAAACACCUCUGUAGCUGAAGAUCAGCUGUUACACACACACACACUGAUAACAUCGCACAACACCUUCACAGUGACCACAGAGCAUCCCAGCAGUGCCCAAAGUCAAGUUUACCUCUUCUGCGUUGCUGUUCUGCACCACUUCUUACAAUGUUACAACACAGUUCAAACACAUGCAACUAACUACUGCAGUAGAGCUCCUGAAGGGACACAUGUAGCAGGGCUGAAACUAAAUUAGUUUCUGCAACUGCCUCUGUUCGGUCUUAAUAUUAGCAUUAACGCAUUCAUUUUCCUCAUUUAAAUACAAUACAAGGGAAAAUUGCCUUUGCUUAAUAUUGCUACUAAUCAGGUUUUGCUAUUCCUGUUUUUAUAAGGGAGAAGUUAGUGCACACCUUUUGUGUUGCUGGAGGACUCUGCUCUCAUCAGCAUCUUAUUUUAAAUGGUGAAGUCAUCUGUUGCAACUGGAAAAAGGGAACAAAGGAAAUCCUCAGAAUAUAAUACUGUCCAAGCACCACUCUAAGGAGUCUUUGGUGGGUUUUGGUUUGGUUUGGGGAUGUUUGUUUUUUGUUUGUUUGUCUGUUGGUUGGUUUGGUUUGGUUAGUUGGUUUGUUUGGGGAUUUUUUUUGGUUGGUUGGUUUUGUUUUGGUUUUAACUCAAAAGCUACUCAAGAUGCUUUCUGGCAUGGCUAGAAAGAUAAGUUUGUUUCAUGUUCCUGUAUUGGAAUUGUUUUGAUCUGCAUUUAUGCUAAAGUCUUACCUGUCUUUACUGUCUCAGCAGAGCAUAGAGCUUACUGAAGCAGCUUUUUGGUAGACUUGAAAAGCACUGUGUACAGCUUGAUUGUUGUCUGUAUUUUGUCAUUCAUUUUUAAGUGAGGCUCUUCUGAUUGAUGUGGGGAAUUUUUUUGACAGGAUGAAGUGUAUGACAUAGCUACCUGAGAUGCCACUUGUAAUUAUUCCGUACCUCAGCUAACAGGAAGAUUUUUACUUGUGAUUGUUACACUUUUCAAAGUGAAUUAGUUAAUCAAAUUGCUAUUUUUGGAAUGCACUUAAAGGAACAUUAAAAUGUAUUAAUUUCAUUAAAAUAAAUGAGCAAAUAGGCAACAAAACAAGUAUUAGUCAAAUAAGCAACAUCUCACCAAUGGAGCCAGAUUCAGCCCUAGUGAAAUCAACCAACUUGCACAUGUCUACAGCAUGUUUAAUUUGGCUUCCACAGCCACACACCUGACACUUUUAUUUGGUUGUUGAAGGUGUGUGUAUUGAAAAUGUGUGUGAGCCAUGCUGCUUCUUCACUGUGAUGCACCUCUGAAGUUAAAUUCUCCUGUUUUCCAUUUAGCUCAGCUGCACAGUCCUGUCUCAUACGCAGUUUUUGGUGUUGAAUGUACACCACAGACAAGGGGAGGCAUUCCCAACCCCAGUGUUUAGUCUAAGGGACAUGACGUGUAUCUGAAGUGAGGGUACAAAGAAAGGGAUUUCAGCAAAGACUGUUCACAACCAAUUGCAUAUAUUCUUCAAUUAAUAGGCUGUACUGAAGUCUCUGCUACUAUCUUUCAUUACUGCUGUUACUCAUGCCAGUGAGGGUAGAGGAAAGGUUGGUACGUCUAUAAUCACACAUUAAUUUGCUAUGUAGAUAUAUCCUAAGAGCCUCUCAGCUCAAGGAAAUUAUGCUGAAAUAAGGUCAGAUGUGAAUGUAAAGCAGAACUGUGUUCAGAUAUCUUAUUCAUUCUGGAAUGACCAAGUUGUUUCCUGGUUUCACUUAAUCCACUUUCAAAGUGGAUUAAGAUAAUUCAAGAAAGUGAAUUCUGAUGCUGGCAUGAGAUUUGUCUACACAUGGUUUUAGUUGAAUAUAAUUACUGCAGUGUACCUAAGUAAGUGUUUUGAAGUAAUUUGAUGUGUAGACAAAUCCAAAGUCCCACAGGUGAAAACAAACAUCUAGUCUUUCUGUAUAACGUGAGGUUAACUUAGCCUAAUGUUUGUCCUACUUCUUCUCUUGUGAAGCAUAUUUAAUUCAUUAAACCACAACAGCUACAUGUUUAUGGUCAAUUUCAGGACAGCAAUGCCACACACACUCCACUAAAAGAAACAAUGUAACCAGGUUAUACUCUGAGUACUCCUCAACUGCCUUAGAGUGGACAGUAGUUUCUUUACUGGAUGAGAUAUCUGGUUUUCAACCAUACAAAUUCUGAGUAAGUUUUAUAAACAAGAGGGAAACAAACACCAAAGUUCUUCUCUGUCUUCUUUAAACUCUCAUGAUCCAUUUGAACUUUGUCUGUGUACCAUUCAAAGCAAUAGCACCCAUGCUAAUUCAGCAAUAUUAGUUCCUGAGUAAGAAACCUCUCAGAUUUGCACAGAAGGGUUUGUAGAACAACGGGGCCUUCAGAAGGCACUUUAAAAACAGGGAGCUAAUUUAUAGUUUGCUUUCCAAGAUCCAAGUUAGUAAGAACCUCCCUGAAACUCAGGCAGCUACAGUGCUUUGAAUCAAGUGUGUUGUAUCACUACUGGCCUACAAGAAACUUACCAAAAUGAUCAAAAGACACAAUUUUCUUUGCAGCUUUAUGCCAAGCAGAAAGUUUGUCAAAUGUCAUUUGGUCUCUUUCUGUGCUACAGAUCUCCCUUAGAAGAGAGGUGACUCUGUCAGGAAUUAAUACUCCUAAACUUUAAGGUUAUUUGUUGGGGAUUCUUUUAGGACAAAACACACAACUAGAUGAGAGAGAAAUUAUGUAAGCUCAGCUAGUGAAGCAGUCAGGUUUUCUGAAAGAACCACAAAACAUAAAAGCUAGAUGGUCCAAACUGCUGACCCUUUAAACACUAACAAUGGAGAAGCCAGUAACAGCUCUAUAGCAAAAAAAUACCUGACUCCUACUUUGUGGGAAAGGCAGAGAGUACCCAGAGGACUUUCCUUGUGCAGAUGAAGUAUUCUUACUACUCCAUGGAACAUGGCAGUGAUGCCUCAUGUAGCAUUCUCAUCCCUAAGCUUGAUUUGUGAUUAUGAGCAUGGUUUUGCUCUCCUGUGCUGGUCUGGGUUGAGGGUAUAGGGAAUGGAUUUCAUACAAGUCUUAUAAGUCUCUUUCACAUCAACCUGCCUAUUUUAAGAAUGACAAAAAAAGUUAAAACAUGGAUAAACAUCAAACAAAAAACCAUGUUCUUGAAUUCUGCCAUGCUGGGUAACUUUGACCAUGGGUUUAGACUUGAUAUUAAAGUUCAAACUAGACUAGAUUAGAAAGCAGUGAUUGUUUUGGACCUCAGAAAAACAUGCUUCUUCUGAAAUCCCACUCUUGUAAACAGUUCGAAUAGAUUGUUUUAUACUCUGCUUCCACUGAGAGGUCUCUGAACAUUGGAGGCACCUGCAGUGGUAGGAUAUCCCAGGUUUUCCCCACUCCUGGCAUUACAGGGGAAUUACUCAUCCAGUGAGAAAGGUGUUUUUAAAUGUCUGAGAUGAUGGCACAACAGGCACAAGAGGAAGUCUCAGCACACAGCCAAUGCAAUGAAAUGAAGGAUCCUCUAUGGGAAUUGGUUACUAGUGCCAGUGUUUUAUAUUUGUCAUAACAACCACUGUCUGUUUUGUUUUUUGUUCUAACAAUGUGAAUUAUGCAUUAAACAUUAAUACAAGCAA
This is a long non-coding RNA of Pogoniulus pusillus (Red-fronted tinkerbird), 4812 nucleotides long. RefSeq lists it as uncharacterized. The record is from RefSeq and is a predicted model, not a curated record. Lineage: Eukaryota; Metazoa; Chordata; Aves; Piciformes; Lybiidae. The transcript has 2 exons.